Molecule: long non-coding RNA, 1677 nt
Organism: Podarcis raffonei (Aeolian wall lizard)
Lineage: Eukaryota; Metazoa; Chordata; Lepidosauria; Squamata; Lacertidae
Exons: 3
Source: RefSeq, a predicted model, not a curated record
GAAUAACUGGGUGGAAUCUGAUGUUAUGUGAGCAGAAAGCAAGUUCUUGCAAUGGAUAAUUUCCAUAGAACACAGUUCACCGUGCUUAGCAGAUUCCUCUGACACUUUGGAGAAGUUUUUUUGGGAGCAGGGUGCAGGGGAGCUGCAGUGGGGAUGAGGGAAAAGGAGAGAUCCACUGAUGUGAGCUGUCGCCUGCUGCAAACAACCCACCAAAUAUCAUGAGUGUGCAUCAUAGAACAGCAAACCAUAAUAUACAGAAGCAUUUCCUGAAUCUGUGCCCUCAGGAGACAUUUCAUACAGAAUCCACCUUCCAACAAACCUGGUAGAUUUCCUUUGGAAGAGGUAAGUAAUAAUCUCUCUUGCUAGAAGUUUUGUAAUUGGUAGUUGUCCUUUAUGCAGCUUUGGGGAAAUGGCACUGUGGGGAUGGGGUUGGGGUUAAGGAGGGGACUAAUAGAUAGAAUUGUAUUCACAGGGUGUCUUUGUGUGCAUACAGGUAUGUGUGUGCGUAGGUAUAUCAUAGUUGGGAUUGUGGUAGAUGGAGUAGGUAUGUUACAUUUUGAAAUCCAUUGUUGUGUGCAGUGUACUGGAAGAAAGGGGGAAAUGGUUGUGUUGUCAAAAGCUGGUUUCAUCUGUGGUACAUCUGAAACAGCAGGUGGGAGUAGGGUUUUUUUUGUGUGUGUGCUGUUGUCUGCCAACAGCCAAUCAAGUGUCUAAGGCCGAGUGCUGAUGCUUCAUUUCAGUGCUGGACAAAGGUAAGUGGGUAGCGGAGACAGGUUGGCAUUUUUAUGAUAUUGUGUGGAUGUUACAACAAGUACUAUGUAAUGCAAAGCAACUGGAAACAGCAGCCAAUAAAAUAAAAUCUGCAAUAAAAGCAAAGCACAUCCCAAGGGCAGAAAUCUCUCAAACCAAAAGCACACUGCAAACAAGACAAGGGGCCCAAUGGAUCUUCAUAGGAAGGAUAUUUAACAGUCCUGCUCCUGCCACUGAAAAGACACAGGUACCAGCUCUCACAUGGCAGUAGGACCAUGAGCAUGCCAGUCUUAAGUGGUUGGCAGGCUCAUGGGGGUGGGAUGUGAUGGUGUUGUAGGCUAAACCUUAUUUUGUGCAUGUGCCACAUUCAGCAGACCAGAUACCCCAAGCCACCUACUUAGUUGCAUACACAGAUUUUUUAAAAAUUAAAUUUUUGAUUCAUAUUCUGAGAAGACUUCCAGUUUAUAUAUUGGAACAUAUUUUCAACAAAAUAAGCAUUUGCUCUUGAUAAAACGCUUGAACUGCAUGACCAGACCACCCAGCCAAGCAGCCUUUUGUUGGGGUACAAGGCACCAAAUCAGCAAAGAUGAAAUAUCUGAGCAGCUGUACACCCAAGGAUACUCUGUGAACUCAGCACGACAGAUCAUGUACACUUAUUGAAGUAAAGAGACAGAAUUCCCUACCACUCUGAACCAAAUGAAGUUACUGAAACAUCUUCAAAAGCAACCCCAUGAAGAUUAUUUAUUGGAGAGGUCAAGCCUGCUGGAUUUAUUAUCGUCGUGAGUUUUAUAGGAGGCAUUGUAUUGUGGCUCGAAAUUGUAUCUCAUCUGUUACUGCAUAAGCUUUGCCUAUAAAGAUGAUCUAUACUAAUUUUUCAAACGAACAGAUAAGUAGCUAACAGAAACUGUAAGAAUCCUAUGUUUUAAA